AAGUCGUGACAAGGUUUCCGUAGGUGAACCUGCGGAAGGAUCAUUCUUGAAUAAUGUAGCAUAUGCUAUCAUUAACCCUGUGAACCGUUACUGUCAUUUGGCGAUCGCAAGGUCGUCAGGUGCAACCAAUUUUUAUUAACCACUUAUUCACUUAUUAUACCAGUAAUCAUAAUUUAUUAUGACAACUUUUAGCAAUGGAUCUCUAGGCUCUC
This 212-nucleotide unclassified non-coding RNA is filed under the name fungal sp. RNAcentral describes it as "partial internal transcribed spacer region". The stretch from base 1 to 46 matches the Rfam family "Eukaryotic small subunit ribosomal RNA", at positions 1786 to 1831 of the family's 1831-position model. Lineage: Eukaryota; Fungi. The record is from RNAcentral.